RNAcentral lists this ribosomal RNA (454 nucleotides) under uncultured organism. Its description in RNAcentral is "bacterial SSU rRNA". It matches the Rfam family "Bacterial small subunit ribosomal RNA", at positions 346 to 794 of the family's 1533-position model. The record is from RNAcentral.
GUGCACCAGGCGAGAAUUUUCUCAAUGGGGGAAACCCUGAAGGAGCGACGCCGCGUGGAGGAUGAAGGUCUUCGGAUUGUAAACUCCUGUCAUUUGGGAACAAGUUGCGUCGAUUAACUGUCGAUGCAUUGAUAGUACCAGAAGAGGAAGAGACGGCUAACUCUGUGCCAGCAGCCGCGGUAAUACAGAGGUCUCAAGCGUUGUUCGGAUUCAUUGGGCGUAAAGGGUGCGUAGGUGGCGGGGUAAGUCAGGUGUGAAAUCUCGAGGCUCAACCUCGAAACUGCACUUGAUACUGCCUUGCUAGAGUACUGGAGAGGAGAUUGGAAUUUACGGUGUAGCAGUGAAAUGCGUAGAUAUCGUAAGGAAGACCAGUGGCGAAGGCGAAUCUCUGGACAGUUACUGACACUGAGGCACGAAGGCCAGGGGAGCAAACGGGAUUAGAUACCCGGGUAGU